Non-coding RNA from Oryza sativa Japonica Group (Japanese rice), 1714 nucleotides. The record is from RefSeq and is a predicted model, not a curated record. Lineage: Eukaryota; Viridiplantae; Streptophyta; Magnoliopsida; Poales; Poaceae.
CAUGAGUUCGACUCCCACAGUGCACGCCGCCACGUCAGGUAGAGGAGGUGGUGCUUGCGUGUGAAUGCAAGGUCGGUGGUGAUGGCACAUUGCUUGGACACCGCCAUGGCCCCGCCCUCUCUACUUGGUACUUGCAGUAUAUGGCGAUGUUGCCGGAUCUAGCGCAUCUACACGAUGGAUGACCUUGUCAUGUUCAGGAGUUCAGUGUGAUACUGGGUUCAACCUUCCUAAGAAGGAGAACGGCAGCUGCGGCGGCCAGUAUAACUUGGCCUCGAAAAAAGGUGAUUUGCCAACUCCAACUAUUCAGGUGGUACUGCCCUUCUCUGCAGUGACGGAGGAUGAAUUUCAGAAGCAGUUGACUCAGGACAGCGAAGUGAGUGCUUCAGCUUCAGAGCCAUGUUCAAAGAGCUUGUGUGUUGAAAGAUUGAGCAAACGUGAAGUGCAGAAAAAGCAUUAAGAAUUUUUGGAGUCUAAAAGAGGAAAUUGUAUUCAUUUUGUGUGAAUUGCUGUAAGUUUUUUUUCUCUGAUUUACUUUAUGAUGCAACAUAUCUCUGGUGACACUAUCUUCUUUAAACAUUUUAAAUUUCCCUUUGCCGCAAAACAUCACCUUUGUGACCAUGUUUUUCUGUACGGUCAAUCUUUUUGGCUACACGACUCAGCUUUGGCGAGAGGCCGCAUGGGAUAAACCAAUGUUUCUAUCUAAAGUGUUCUUUCAAAAUCGUUUUUGUACUGAAUAAAAAAUGAAGCUUAAUGGAUCUGAAGCUAUGUACAGGAAUCAGAAGGGCUAUUUAGCAGCAACUGCAGAGUAACAACAGAUGAUUGUGCCUCUUCUAUUUGUGCUAUUUAAAAAACACUUUUUUAACAAAUUUCAUAUUGUCCUUUUGUAUAGUCAGCCAGAUGCAGCGUGUUGCAUGGGACAUGGAGCAUGCAUGUUACCAUAUGCAGUUCAAGGCAUGGGAUUAGUGAGCUUUAAUUGGGUAUCCUGCUAAGAUUCAUUUCUGAAAAAACAUACAAGAAUGUCGUUUUCAAUCAUGCUAACUGUAAUUUUUUUAACAAUUGGGUUAAGACCAAAAUAAAAUGAUAUAAGCCUCUAUUUCUUCUAUCAGAGAUCUAUUACAAUUUUUUUGGGGGACAAUAACGAAUAAAACAAACUGGUGAACAAUUUUCUUUCCCUUAAAUUUGUACAAAAUUUGUUGUGUCUUUGCUGAUUAGCUGCAAUUGUGUGAACCUGGUGGCUAACGAGGAAUGAUAUGGUGUUUAGAGAUAACAUUGCUUACUCCCUUCUAAUUUAACUUUUUCAAAUUAUUUCUCAACUGAUGUAGUGGAAACCUCUCCUUCCCCAAGGAGAAGCAGAUGGAGGCUCUGGUGGCACGUCUGAAGGGGCAAUAGCAAGGCUGCGACCAAGAUCAAGAGUUGGAUGAUGUUUUUCCUACCAAAAAAAGUUUGAAGUCCGUGUUAAAGUAAGAGUUGUCAAUUUCUGCUAUGGGAGUUCUUACCCCUUUUUGUUUAGUUUGUCUAUCCUUUAAGUGACCCUAGCUGGUCGGGAUGUGUGACCAUGUGAGACUUCCCUUUUGCUCUGAGCUCAUGUAAACCUUGUAAUCCCAGCGAACCUGUCGUUGUGGCUUUCAAUAUAAGCUACGGGGUAGGUCUGAGGACCUUCUUGAAAAAACAUUUAUUCCUAUGUUGAAUGAAUUGUCUAGAAUUAGAUCCACAA